GGGAGAAAGGGUGGGCGGCGUGCCUAACACAUGCAGUCGAAACGAUGAUUGGAGAGCUUGCUCUUCCUGAUUAGUGGCGCACGGGUGAGUAUACCAUAGAUAAUGUACCCCUUAGUUUGGGAUAGCCACUGGAAACGGUGAUUAAUACCAGAUACUCCUUCUUGUCCUAAGGCAAGUCGGGAAAGUUUUUUCGCUAAGGGAUCAGUCUAUGUCCUAUCAGCUAGUUGGUGAGGUAAUGGCUCACCAAGGCUAUGACGGGUAUCUGGUUUGAGAGGAUGAUCAGACACACUGGAACUGAGACACGGUCCAGACUCCUACGGGAGGCAGCAGUGAGGAAUAUUGCACAAUGGAGGAAACUCUGAUGCAGCAACGCCGCGUGGAGGAUGACGCAUUUCGGUGUGUAAACUCCUUUUAAGAGGGAAGAUUAUGACGGUACCUCUUGAAUAAGCACCGGCUAACUCCGUGCCAGCAGCCGCGGUAAUAAGAGGGGUGAAGCGUUACUCGGAAUCACUGGUCGUAAAGGGUGCGUAGCUGACUUUUAGUCAGGCGUGAAUCCAAUGGCUUACCCAUUGACUGCCUU
This 580-nucleotide ribosomal RNA is filed under the name uncultured bacterium. RNAcentral describes it as "bacterial SSU rRNA". It matches the Rfam family "Bacterial small subunit ribosomal RNA", at positions 25 to 627 of the family's 1533-position model. The record is from RNAcentral.